UUCCGGUUGAUCCCGCCGGACCCCACUGCUAUUGGGAUAGGACUAAGACAUGCUAGUCGUGUGCCUCAGUCAAAACGAGGCACGGCGCACAGCUCAGUAACACGUGGCUAACCUGCCCUUAGGACGAGAAUAACCCCGGGAAACUGGGGCUAAUGCUCGAUAGGUGAAGAACUCUGGAAUGAGUCUUCACUUAAAAGAGUCUGCGUUAUGCUCGUAGAUUUCGCUUAAGGAUGGGGCCGCGACCGAUCAGGUUGUUGGUGAGGUAAUGGCUCACCAAGCCUUUUACCGGUGCGGGCCGUGAGAGCGGGAGCCCGGAGAUGGGCACUGAGACAAGGGCCCAGGCCCUACGGGGCGCAGCAGUCGCGAAAACUUUGCAAUACACGAAAGUGUGACAGGGCUAUCCCGAGUGCCAUCCGCUGAGGAAGGCUUUUACCCAGUCUAGAAAGCUGGGGGAAUAAGGAGAGGGCAAGUCUGGUGUCAGCCGCCGCGGUAAUACCAGCUCUCCGAGUGGUGUGGAUGUUUAUUGGGCCUAAAGCAUCCGUAGCUGGCUAAGUUAGUCCCCUGUUAAAUCCAACGAAUUAAUCGUUGGAUCGCGGGGGAUACUGCUUGGCUAGGGGACGAGAGAGGCAGACGGUAUUUCCGGGGCAGGGGUGAAAUCCUAUAAUCCCGGGAAGACCACCAGUGGCGAAGGCUGUCUGCUAGAACGCGCCCGACGGUGAGGGAUGAAAGCUGGGGGAGCGAACCGGAUUAGAUACCCGGGUAGUCCCAGCUGUAAACGAUGCAGGCUAGGUGUUUGGACGGCCACGUGCCGUUCUAGUGCCGCAGGGAAGCUGUUAAGCCUGCCGCCUGGGGAGUACGAUCGCAAGAUUGAAACUUAAAGGAAUUGGCGGGGGAGCACCACAAGGGGUGAAGCUUGCGGUUUAAUUGGAGUCAACGCCGGG
Molecule: ribosomal RNA, 941 nt
Filed under: uncultured crenarchaeote
Lineage: Archaea; Thermoproteati; Thermoproteota
Description: bacterial SSU rRNA
Rfam family: Archaeal small subunit ribosomal RNA
Source: RNAcentral